RNAcentral lists this ribosomal RNA (467 nucleotides) under uncultured bacterium. Its description in RNAcentral is "partial 16S ribosomal RNA". It matches the Rfam family "Bacterial small subunit ribosomal RNA", at positions 28 to 507 of the family's 1533-position model. The record is from RNAcentral.
GACGAACGCUGGCGGCGUGCUUAACACAUGCAAGUCGAACGGAAAUUCUCCAGCUUGCUGGAGUACUCGAGUGGCGAACUGGUGAGUAACACGUGGGUAAUCUGCCCUGCACUCUGGGAUAAGCCUGGGAAACUGGGUCUAAUACUGGAUAUGACCUUUCUCCUUAUGGGGUUUGGUGGAAAGUUUUUCGGUGUAGGAUGAGCCCGCGGCCUAUCAGCUUGUUGGUGGGGUGAUGGCCUACCAAGGCGACGACGGGUAGCCGGCCUGAGAGGGUGAUCGGCCAAAUUGGGACUGAGAUACGGCACAGACUACUACGGGAGGCAGCAGUGGGGAAUAUUGCACAAUGGGAGGAAGCCUGAUGCAGCGAAGCCGCGUGAGGGAUGACGGCAUUCGGGUUGUAAACCUAUUUCAGCAGGGACGAAGCGUAAGUGACGGUACCUGCAGAAGAAGCACCGGCUAACUAUGUG